AGUGAACGCUGGCGGUAGGCCUAACACAUGCAAGUCGAACGGCAGCACAGUAAGAGCUUGCUCUUAAGGGUGGCGAGUGGCGGACGGGUGAGGAAUACAUCGGAAUCUACUUUUUCGUGGGGGAUAACGUAGGGAAACUUACGCUAAUACCGCAUACGACCUACGGGUGAAAGCAGGGGAUCUUCGGACCUUGCGCGAUUGAAUGAGCCGAUGUCGGAUUAGCUAGUUGGCGGGGUAAAGGCCCACCAAGGCGACGAUCCGUAGCUGGUCUGAGAGGAUGAUCAGCCACACUGGAACUGAGACACGGUCCAGACUCCUACGAGAGGCAGCAGUGGGGAAUAUUGGACAAUGGGCGCAAGCCUGAUCCAGCCAUACCGCGUGGGUGAAGAAGGCCUUCGGGUUGUAAAGCCCUUUUGUUGGGAAAGAAAAGCAGCAGGUUAAUACCCCGCUGUUCUGACGGUACCCAAAGAAUAAGCACCGGCUAACUUCGUG
This 492-nucleotide ribosomal RNA is filed under the name uncultured bacterium. Its description in RNAcentral is "partial 16S ribosomal RNA". It matches the Rfam family "Bacterial small subunit ribosomal RNA", at positions 29 to 507 of the family's 1533-position model. The record is from RNAcentral.